AUCGUUCUCCGUUUCGGAUGUAUCAACACCAUGUCGAGCUUCCCAGUAUCAAAAGUCCCAGUCUUCGACUAGUUUGGACAUUAUUGGAGC
RNAcentral lists this non-coding RNA (90 nucleotides) under Cylindrotheca closterium. Lineage: Eukaryota; Bacillariophyta; Bacillariophyceae; Bacillariales; Bacillariaceae. The record is from RNAcentral.